Molecule: ribosomal RNA, 209 nt
Filed under: uncultured bacterium
Lineage: Bacteria
Description: partial 16S ribosomal RNA
Rfam family: Bacterial small subunit ribosomal RNA
Source: RNAcentral
UGCGUAGGCGGCGCGGUAAGUCGGGUGUGAAAUCUCGGAGCUUAACUCCGAAACUGCAUUCGAUACUGCCGUGCUUGAGGACUGGAGAGGAGACUGGAAUUUACGGUGUAGCGGUGAAAUGCGUAGAUAUCGUAAGGAAGACCAGUGGCGAAGGCGGGUCUCUGGACAGUUCCUGACGCUGAGGCACGAAGGGUCAGGGAGGCAAACGG